CCAAGGGUGGAGUAGUGGUUUGAGUGUUAGACUAGGAUUUGGAAGACCAGGGUUCAAAUCCCAGCUGGA
Molecule: non-coding RNA, 69 nt
Organism: Phrynosoma platyrhinos (Desert horned lizard)
Lineage: Eukaryota; Metazoa; Chordata; Lepidosauria; Squamata; Phrynosomatidae
Source: the annotation of a GenBank genome assembly